UCUGGCAAUGACGACACUCUUGCCCUCUCUGAGCAGCUGUGGCUGAGGAGAGCAGUUCUAGCGCUCUGUGGGGCUGAGCCAGA
Molecule: non-coding RNA, 83 nt
Organism: Manacus vitellinus (golden-collared manakin)
Lineage: Eukaryota; Metazoa; Chordata; Aves; Passeriformes; Pipridae
Source: Rfam